UCAGUGACACAAGCCAAUACCCCAUGUCCAUGACCCCCUGCCCCCACCCCAGCCUACGAUCUCUCACAGAGUCACAGUCACUGUUCACACAACAGCUGCUAGUAGCCGUAGCCCGUAGGCGAGCCAGAGGCGGCCCAAUUCGAGAGCGGUUCCGGCGGCGUGGGCGGCGCCGUGCCUGAGAUCGGAGCCCCGUGGCGCGGUGCUGGCAACUGGCGGCGCGAUGUGGGCGGUCCACGGGAGGGAGUCCACGGCCGCUGCGCUUCGCCUGCUGCUGAUCGCGAUCGCCUGCGGCCUCGUCUUCGCGCUCCUCCACCUCCCCCUCCCGGAUGACCGUGCGCGAACCGCCGACCCCGGUGGGCAGCGCGGCGCUGCUGGGGGCGGCGGGGCCCGCCUGUCGGUGCAGCAGGGGAGGGUUCGAGAGGCCAGAAGGCUGAGUGUCGUCACCGAAGAGACAGAUGGGCAAACUGACGAAACGGCGGCGGAAGAAGAUGAAAGGAUAUCUAAAUCUCCCCCAGACACCAAAGAGAAGAUCUGGAUGAUGCAAGAUCAGCUAAUUUUGGCCAAGGCGUACUUGCAUUUCGCUUCUCCCCAAGGUAGUGUACAUUUAGUUCGAGAGCUGAAAUUGAAGAUAAAAGAGAUCGAAAGGGCAAUAAGCCACUCAAGUGGAGGUACCCAUGUACCUGGGAGUGUGUUGCAAAAAAUAAAGGCGAUGGAGCUGACCCUUUCAAAGGCUCAGAGGACCUACCCGCAUUGCUCUCAGAUGACGUCAAAGCUACGUGCAAUGAUGCAUAAUAGUGAAGAAUUGGUCAGAGCACACCAAAGUGAAUCUUCAUUCCUUGAGCAGGUUGCUGUGAGGACAUUACCCAAAGGCCAUCACUGCCUAGCAAUGCAGCUUACCGCAGAAUACUUUUCGUUAGAUCCCACUAAACGUGAAUUCCCUAAAAGAGACAACAUUCAGUUGGGUGGUUAUUAUCAUUAUGCGAUGUUCUCUGACAAUGUGCUUGCAAGUGCUGUGGUUGUCAACUCUACAAUUGCUGCAUCAAAGUACAAUUAAAAUAAUGGAACUUCAAUGUGGGAACUGCUGCGAAAAUUUAGAUGCAAUGAGCAUGGAAGGGAGGACUGCACCAUGACUUCUUCAGUAGAAUCUUCUUUUCAUUCAGCCUGUCUUAUUUGGCAGGAUCCUGGAAGGAUAUUAUUACAUAUUGUAACUGACGCGUUGAAUUAUCCUGCAAUGAUGAUGUGGUUUCUGACAAACCCACCAACUCCAUCAGUAAUCCAAAUCCAGAGCCUAGAUGAUUUGAAAUGGUUGCCUGGUGAUUUCAGUUCCAGAUUCAAGCUGAAGGGGGUUCGGGAUCCGAGAUACACUUCUGCACUCAACCACUUGCGUUUUUAUUUGCCAGAAGUGUUUCCAUCUUUGAGCAAGGUUCUACUCUUGGACCAUGAUGUGGUAGUACAGAAUGACUUGUCUGGAUUAUGGGACCUAGAUAUGAAGGGUAAGGUAACCGGUGCUGUCGACACAUGCACCUCAAGUGAAGGUUUCCGCCAAUUGGAUAGCCUUAUUGAUUUUUCCAAUCCAAGCGUCUUCAACGAACUUGACCCAAAGGCUUGUGCAUUUGCAUUUGGGAUGAACAUAUUUGACCUGAACGAAUGGCGCAAACAGGGUUUGAGUACAACCUAUCAUAGAUGGUUUCAACUGGGCAAAAGUGAGAAGUUGUGGAAGGCAGGAAGCCUGCCACUGGGUCAGGUCGUCUUCUACAACCGGACGCUGCCUCUGGACCACCGGUGGCAUGUUCUAGGGCUCGGUCAUGACUCCAGCAUCGGAAGAGAUGAACUCGAGAGUGCCUCUGUCAUCCACUACAGUGGGAAACUCAAACCCUGGUUGGAGAUUUCUAUCCCAAAGUACAGAGGCUACUGGAACAGGUACCUUAACUACGAUAACCCGCACUUGCAGCAGUGCAACAUUCACGGAUAGAGGCGAUGGCGGGUGAGGUGAUUCGCAAGGUAGAACUGGGAUAUACGCAACUUCGCUGUAGUAACUUAUUAGGAGAGCAAGUUGUUGUUUUUUUGUUUCUGUUGCUAGAUGCCCUAUUUGCAAUUUUGUUUGCUAGUAGUCACAAUCGGUACAAAAGCAAAAAAGGAAGAACAAAAUCGAGUACACGAGCUACAGUUUCACUAGUGAUACACUGAAGGUUUGACAGAAGUCAAGCCACUAGCUAACAUUAUCAAUAACUAGUGUUGCCUCGGACCUGGGGAAGAGUGCGAAUUCCACGGAGCUCAGUUAGCGUGCGUUGGACAAGAUAGAUGUAAAGUUUUCGCGAUAAUAUCGUUCUCUCUUACAAAGAAAGGGGUUUUACUACUGCCAUUUAAAA
This is an RNA transcript of Zea mays, 2369 nucleotides long. It is a transcript of the gene named probable galacturonosyltransferase 4, with no coding region annotated. NCBI's taxonomy places the organism in Eukaryota, Viridiplantae, Streptophyta, Magnoliopsida, Poales, Poaceae. The record is from RefSeq and is a predicted model, not a curated record. The transcript is spliced from 8 exons.